Molecule: ribosomal RNA, 288 nt
Filed under: Triticum aestivum (bread wheat)
Lineage: Eukaryota; Viridiplantae; Streptophyta; Magnoliopsida; Poales; Poaceae
Description: partial small subunit ribosomal RNA
Source: RNAcentral
AUGUCCAUGAGGAUAGGAUCACUAUUAAAUCAUCAGAAUAAGUCUGCUCCUGUUGCAACGCACGGGCAAUGGGAGAAAUGUGAUGUCCAUGCAUUUGGGAGAAUCAAGAAAGAAAGAAAAGAAGAGCGCUUCAAGGGUAAAAAGGUAGUUGCCGAUGCAGCCCGUUGCAACGCACGUGCAUCCCAUCAUGCAACAUGGAAUGUGUUUGCCUAUUUUGUUUUUCAUUUUAUGCUCUGGUGGAACGGUAAAGAAUUGGUCAAGCCGGUUUGCACGAUGAAAUGGGUAUGA